CCUACGGGAUGCAGCAGUGGGGAAUAUUGCACAAUGGGCGAAACCCUGAUGCAGCGACGCCGCGUGAGUGAAGAAGUAUCUCGGUACGUAAAACCCUAUUAGCAGGGAAGAAAAUGACGGUACGUGACUAAAACGCGCCGGCUAACUACGUACCAGCAGCCGAGGUAUUACGUCGGGGACAAGCGUUAACCGGAUUUACUGGGGUUAAAGGGAGCGUAGACGGCAGCACAAGUCUGGAGUGAAAUCGCGGGGGUUAACCCCGGAACUGCCUUGGAAACUGGGCGGCUGGAGUGCAGGAGGGGUAAGCGGAAUUCCUGGUGUAGCGGUGAAAUGCGUAGAUAUUAGGAGGAACACCGGUGGCGAAGGCGGCUUACUGGACUGUAACUGACGUUGAGGCUCGAAAGCGUGGGGAGCAAACAGGAUUAGAUACCCUUGUAGUC
RNAcentral lists this ribosomal RNA (440 nucleotides) under uncultured bacterium. RNAcentral describes it as "partial 16S ribosomal RNA". It matches the Rfam family "Bacterial small subunit ribosomal RNA", at positions 338 to 795 of the family's 1533-position model. The record is from RNAcentral.